GACGAACGCUGGCGGCGUGCCUAAUACAUGCAAGUAGAACGCUGAAGAGAGGAGCUUGCUCUUCUUGGAUGAGUUGCGAACGGGUGAGUAACGCGUAGGUAACCUGCCUUGUAGCGGGGGAUAACUAUUGGAAACGAUAGCUAAUACCGCAUAACAAUGGAUGACACAUGUCAUUUAUUUGAAAGGGGCAAUUGUUCCACUACAAGAUGGACCUGCGUUGUAUUAGCUAGUAGGUGAGGUAAUGGCUCACCUAGGCGACGAUACAUAGCCGACCUGAGAGGGUGAUCGGCCACACUGGGACUGAGACACGGCCCAGACUCCUACGGGAGGCAGCAGUAGGGGAUCUUCGGCAAUGGGGGCAACCCUGACCGAGCAACGCCGCGUGAGUGAAGAAGGUUUUCGGAUCGUAAAGCUCUGUUGUAAGUCAAGAACGGGUGUGAGAGUGGAAAGUUCACACUGUGACGGUAGCUUACCAGAAAGGGACGGCUAACUACGUG
RNAcentral lists this ribosomal RNA (497 nucleotides) under uncultured bacterium. RNAcentral describes it as "partial 16S ribosomal RNA". It matches the Rfam family "Bacterial small subunit ribosomal RNA", at positions 28 to 507 of the family's 1533-position model. The record is from RNAcentral.